This 1372-nucleotide long non-coding RNA is filed under the name Homo sapiens (human). Its description in RNAcentral is "HSALNT0076041". Lineage: Eukaryota; Metazoa; Chordata; Mammalia; Primates; Hominidae. The record is from RNAcentral.
AAAUGGUAACUGGUGGCAGCAGAAGAGGUAGACCAAGCAAUAAUAAAGGAUGAAAAAGUAGGCAGAGGGGAGGGGAAUAGGGGAGGCAACAGAGCAGAGAUGACUGGAUGGCCCAGACUCAGACUGGUGGACUACCAGUCUACCAUGGUAUCCUGAGUGACUGCACAGGCCAAUGAUUUGACUGCUAAGAGGGUUUCCUGUUCUUAUUUCCCUUUGGUACUUUAAAUAAGUCCUCAUUAACUGAGGCAACUUGAGCAUGGAAACUGAAAGAGCCAAACAUUCACAUUAGAUGAUGCUGGGCUACAUACAUUUACUUUACAGAGCUACAGACAGGUAGGGAAGAUAAGUACUGAGCAGGGAACAUGUCAUUCCUUUUCUUGUUCUAUAUCUAGGCAAGCUCUGGAGAAUCUGAGUCAGUGAGGAACACCCUGGAGAAUCUGAAAAAGUCUGCAAUGCUGAGAUGUGAUAGGCUUUAACACCCGACAAAGACCUAGGUAUGAAGUUUGACUCAUAGACCUUCAAGACACACUGGAACCUUUUUAAAAGCAAAGCUUGGGGCGACUCAAGGACUGUGUUAAGAUGUGGGAAAGUGGUUAGGUCAGACUGCUGACACUGGCUUCUCCUGGCUACAUAGACCCCUGGCAAUCAAAUUGCCAAGACGGGAGAGGGCAGUAGAACAGAGCAAUGUUGCCUAUUUCAAGUCUGGAGGGAAGUAAAACAGGCUUGAUGCUGGACAUGUGUUGCAUGAAUUGAUACAUCUUCAGAUUAGGUUCUUUUGAGAGAUGAGGUGACCUAAAUCACCAUGCACACUUGGGGAGGCUGUCACCUUCUCAGGGCCUUGGCUUUCUCCACAGUGAAGAGGGUCAAGUUUGGGCAAAGUUGGUCUCCAAACUCACAGCUGUAAUAGUCGGUGAGUUCACAGUGAAAAAUGUACCAAGUAGGCACCUUGGAUUACUUUAUCCAGGCUGAUGAUCUCCAGAGAGGAGAAUUCCAGAAAAAAUUCUCACUGGGCAGGGAUUACAGGUGAAAAUGAACUCCCCAGAAACAUGUCUUCAGCCAUGUCUUUCCAGGAUCCUCCUUCGAUGGUGUUAAACCCACUAGGUCCUCACUUUUACACCUAUAUAGUACCUCCUAUUUCCACACUCUUUUCUUCUCUCCAUUUUCUCAAACAACGCUAUCAGAUGAGGGAGAGCUUUCAUGGAAGGAAGACCCUUGUCCGAGGGCUCAGAUACCUGGAGGUGGCAGUUUGGUUGUGGCUACAAAUGGGGCUGACGAUGCUGGAGAUUCUCCAGGCAAGGAGCUUUCAACUAGGUUCCACCCCCUCAUUAAUAGGCAGCCUGGGAUUCGUUUCUACUCUGCCACUGCCGCUCUC